CCUACGGGCGGCAGCAGUGGGGGAUAUUGCACAAUGGGGGAAACCCUGAUGCAGCGACGCCGCGUGUGGGAAGACGGUCCUCUGGAUUGUAAACCACUGUCCCCAGGGACGAAGAUGACGGUACCUGGGGAGGAAGCUUCGGCUAACUACGUGCCAGCAGCCGCGGUAAUACGUAGGGCGCGAGCGGUGUCCGUAAUUACUGGGUGAAAAGGGAGCGUAGGCGGGGAUGGAAGUUGGGUGUCAAAACUACCGGCUAAACUGGUAGUCGCACCCAAAACUGGAGAUCUUGAGUGAAGUAGAGGCAGGCGGAAUUCCUGGUGUAGCGGUGAAAUGCGUAGAUAUUAGGAGGAACACCAGUGGCGAAGGCGGCCUGCUGGGCUUUUACUGACGCUGAGGCUCGAAAGUGUGGGGAGCAAACAGGAUUAGAUACCCUUGUAGUC
This 440-nucleotide ribosomal RNA is filed under the name uncultured bacterium. Its description in RNAcentral is "partial 16S ribosomal RNA". It matches the Rfam family "Bacterial small subunit ribosomal RNA", at positions 338 to 795 of the family's 1533-position model. The record is from RNAcentral.